Molecule: long non-coding RNA, 515 nt
Filed under: Setaria italica (foxtail millet)
Lineage: Eukaryota; Viridiplantae; Streptophyta; Magnoliopsida; Poales; Poaceae
Description: long non-coding RNA (SITA_LNC003338)
Source: RNAcentral
CUGCCAAGAAGGCUCCUGCCAAGGAGGAAGAGGAGGAAGAUGAAGAGGAGUCUGACAAGUCAAAGUCCGAGGUCAAUGAUGAGGAUGAUGACGAGGGUAGUGAGGAGGUAUACAUAUAUCUGCCUUUGAUGAGAAUGCUAUUCUGCUCAUGCUUUUAGAAAAGUUGCAUUGGUAUAGGCUACUCUAGGUACUAGCAGAUUGAAUUAUUAUCUGACUAGUAGAUUUUACUCUCUUGGUAGAUGCUAAGUAUAGCGGUGGAUCUCCCUGUUGAGAUGAUUUGUCCUGUGGAGGCUAAAACCUGCAUUGCAUGCUGUGUUUGCAGGAGGAAGACGAUGACGAGUGAACUCAGCUGAAGAUGAUGUGCUCCACUGAACGAUGGAGUGGUGAAUGCAAAGGCCCCGUGGCGGGAAUUAUAAGGAGCCUAUCCUAUCUACUAGAAUUAUUCAGUUUCACUUCACAUCGUGAUGUUUUACUUUUGUCGUCCUAUAACGGAUAGCGCUCCUUGUUGGCGCCAC